UCGACCGGCGUACGGGUGCGUAACGCGUAUACAAUCUGCCUUUCACAUAGGGAUAGCCCGAAGAAAUUUGGAUUAAUACCUAAUGGUAUAUAGGGGUGGCAUCACCUUUAUAUUAAAGCUGAGGCGGUGAAAGAUGAGUAUGCGUUCUAUUAGCUAGUUGGAGAGGUAACGGCUCCCCAAGGCGACGAUAGAUAGGGGUUCUGAGAGGGAUAUCCCCCACACUGGUACUGAGAUACGGACCAGACUCCUACGGGAGGCAGCAGUGAGGAAUAUUGGACAAUGGUCGGAAGACUGAUCCAGCCAUGCCGCGUGCAGGAAGACGGCCUUAUGGGUUGUAAACUGCUUUUGCAGGGGAAGAAUAAGGACUACGCGUAGUUUGAUGACGGUACUCUGCGAAUAAGCAUCGGCUAACUCCGUGCCAGCAGCCGCGGUAAUACGGAGGAUGCGAGCGUUAUCCGGAAUCAUUGGGUUUAAAGGGUCCGUAGGCGGGCUAAUAAGUCAGAGGUGAAAGCGCUCAGCUCAACUGAGCAACUGCCUUUGAAACUGUUAGUCUUGAAUGGUUGUGAAGUAGUUGGAAUGUGUAGUGUAGCGGUGAAAUGCUUAGAUAUUACACAGAACACCGAUAGCGAAGGCAUAUUACUAACAAUUAAUUGACGCUGAUGGACGAAAGCGUGGGGAGCGAACAGGAUUAGAUANCCUGGUAGUCCACGCUGUAAACGAUGGAUACUAGCUGUUUGGAUGAAAGUUUGAG
RNAcentral lists this ribosomal RNA (751 nucleotides) under uncultured Cytophaga sp. Its description in RNAcentral is "bacterial SSU rRNA". It matches the Rfam family "Bacterial small subunit ribosomal RNA", at positions 91 to 843 of the family's 1533-position model. Lineage: Bacteria; Pseudomonadati; Bacteroidota; Cytophagia; Cytophagales; Cytophagaceae. The record is from RNAcentral.